This 969-nucleotide long non-coding RNA is filed under the name Capsella grandiflora. RNAcentral describes it as "long non-coding RNA (CGRA_LNC000137)". The record is from RNAcentral. Lineage: Eukaryota; Viridiplantae; Streptophyta; Magnoliopsida; Brassicales; Brassicaceae.
UUGGUUUCACCAGUGUUAAGACAUAACUAACUUCUUAGUGAGCUCAAGAGGGAAGACAGUAAACUUGAGUAGUCUAAAAGUCUUUAUCUAUCUCCAAGCAACUUGACAUAAACAACUCCCAUCAAGUCAUUUUCAGGGUAUGAAAGUCUUCCUUGCAAUGAAACUGUCUCCUUCCUUUAUCACAAAUCUUCAGACUCUUUUUCCAUGGACCAUGGUAAAAUACUAAAAGAGUCUUUGUCUUGUUACUUAUUCACUUCUUCAUUCUCUCCACAUAUCUUUAAAUGCCUUCACAUUUGUCUGAAACUGAUAAAGAAAAUGGCAAUAAGGUCAAAGUCUUUCUUCUUUCUUUUGGAGACUUUCCUCAUAAGUGUAGAUCUAUCCCCAUUUCUACUUUGCUUCCGGUAAAUUUCAGUAAAUUUCUUGCACCGGGACUUUGUUUUAGGCCUUAGUCCUACAAAAAGAAAGAGAAAAAAAGAAACUAAUAUAUUAAUAAAAUCUUCUUAAAUAGUUGAAUAUCAUGAUUCUCUUGUCUACAAGUCUAUUCCAAGACUUAGUCAUCAUCCUAACCCACCUAAUUCCAAAGAAAUUUCCCUGUUGAAAUAUACUAUGAGAUAAACAACUAUAAAGAAAAAGAAACCUUACCAUAGUUUUCUUUUCUUUAUAUAAAACCAAGACUUACACAAAAUCAACAAUUCACAAAUUCCUCAUCUGCUUUUUUACUUCCUCUUUUUCUUCUUCAGUUCUUCUUCAUCUUCUUAUUCAUCAUCUCCAAGGCAAUGAAAAAAAAAGAGGAGAUCACCAUGAUCAAUUUGUGUCUGUCUCUAAGAAGAUGUUUUUUGCCAUAUGCAAUCAUAUGGGUGCUCUUUGUGAUCCCCUCUUGUGUUUUGUCAGUUGAUAAGCGUCACUUACACUGCAGUCAUUUGUUUAAAUGCGGCAAUCAGACAGAACUCUAUUAUCCAUUUUGGACAG